CCUGGCAAACCCUGUAGUCCCAGCUACUCAGAAGGCUGAGCAGGGGAUCACUUGAACCUAGGAGUUGUGGGCUGUAGUGUGCUAUGCCAAUUGAGUGUCCCCACUAAGUUCGGCAUCAAUAUGGUGACAUCCGGGGAGCAGGGGACCACCAUGUUGCCUAAGGAGGGGUGAACCAGCUCAGGUGGGAAACAGGGCAGGUCAAAACUCCCGUGCUGAUCAGUAGUGGGAUCACACCUGUGAGUGGCCAGUGCACUCUAGCCUGGGCAACAUAGUGAGACCCCCAUCUCU
Molecule: unclassified non-coding RNA, 288 nt
Organism: Nomascus leucogenys (northern white-cheeked gibbon)
Lineage: Eukaryota; Metazoa; Chordata; Mammalia; Primates; Hylobatidae
Rfam family: Metazoan signal recognition particle RNA
About the family: The signal recognition particle (SRP) is a universally conserved ribonucleoprotein. It is involved in the co-translational targeting of proteins to membranes.
Source: Ensembl